Molecule: ribosomal RNA, 348 nt
Filed under: uncultured bacterium
Lineage: Bacteria
Description: bacterial SSU rRNA
Rfam family: Bacterial small subunit ribosomal RNA
Source: RNAcentral
UUCGGUGUGUAAACUCCUUUUAUUAGGGAAGAAAAUGACGGUACCUAAUGAAUAAGCACCGGCUAACUCCGUGCCAGCAGCCGCGGUAAUACGGAGGGUGCAAGCGUUACUCGGAAUCACUGGGCGUAAAGGACGCGUAGGCGGGUUGGUAAGUCAGAUGUGAAAUCCUACAGCUUAACUGUAGAACUGCAUUUGAAACUACCGACCUAGAGUGUGGGAGGGGGAGAUGGAAUUAGUGGUGUAGGGGUAAAAUCCGUAGAUAUCACUAGGAAUACCGAAAGCGAAGGCGAUCUCCUGGAACAUAACUGACGCUAAGGCGUGAAAGCGUGGGGAGCAAACAGGAUUAGA